This is an RNA transcript of Nilaparvata lugens (brown planthopper), 12607 nucleotides long. RefSeq lists it as uncharacterized. The record is from RefSeq and is a predicted model, not a curated record. Lineage: Eukaryota; Metazoa; Arthropoda; Insecta; Hemiptera; Delphacidae. The transcript has 21 exons.
CUAUGAAUCAGUUGAAUCAUCAACAAUCUCUCACAAAAAAUAUCUCCGCCUGUUUUGAGUGAAAAGAAAGAUACACCGUCAGCUAAUCCAUCAGUAUCUCCUAUGAAAUCAGUUGAAUCAUCAACAAUUCUCUCACUAAAAAUAUCUCCGCCUGUUUUGAGUGAAAAGAAAGAUACACCGUCAGCUAAUCCAUCAGUAUCUCCUAUGAAAUCAGUUGAAUCAUCAACAAAUCUCUCACAAAAAAUAUCUCCGCCUGUUUUGAGUGAAAAGAAAGAUACACCGUCAGCUAAUCCAUCAGUAUCUCCUAUGAAAUCAGUUGAAUCAUCAACAAAUCUCUCACAAAAAAUAUCUCCGCCUGUUUUGAGUGAAAAGAAAGAUACACCGUCAGUUAAUCCAUCAGUAUCUCCUAUGAAAUCAGUUGAAUCAUCAACAAUUCUCUCACAAAAAAUACCUCCAACUGUUCUAAAUGAGAGUGAUUUGAAACCUGCUACACAUUUGGAUCAAAAUGCAAAUAAGCGGCCAGUUGCAUUAGUAUCACCCAAGGAUCCGAGACUUGCGAGAGGUCUUUUGCGUAAAAGUUUGUGUAGUGAAAGGUUGCCACAACCCACUAUUCCACUACAGGAAAAUGUUACCAGCAAACCUGAGCUGAGACAAGAAAAUGUUCAAUGCAAGACAGUGCCUAAAGAAGAGAAUGUUCCAAGAAAGUCAGAGGAGAAUGUGCCCAGCAAAUGUGAGCCCACCCAAAGCCAGAGCCUCCGUGCCAAACUUGCAGAGGAAAUUACGACUGUUCAUAAAGUUGGCGCAAGUGUUGGGGGUGCGCUUAGAACAUUGAAAACUUCCGAAAAACUGAAACCUAAAAGCCUCCAUAGUAUUGAACAAAAUCGGAUUGCGAAUCUAAAACCGGGUACAAUUAUGGAUUUAAUGAAUAAAGAGACGCCAAAGAAAUCAAAACUCUCAAAUCCGAUCUCUGACCAGCAAAAAGUCAAGACUAAUCAAUCAACCUUAUCUAGUAUGUCAAAAGAACAACUGGAAAAAUUAGUUGUUGAAAACAUUCAUAAUCUGCCAACUAUACCACCAGACACAAUCCAGAUAUUAGAACGUUUUUCAACUAAAAGUUCUUUACAAGGCAAUCCUGGAACUGAUCAAGCUGUUGAUAGAUUUGAUCCAAGUCAAACUUCAAUAACUCAUGGGCUUCCUAGCAAGCCAGAAAGAGGAUUGGGUAAUUCUGAUAUUGUUGGUGAUCAAAACGCAUUUGCUUCUUUUAGGACUCCCAGGUCCAGUGAAAUUUGUAACGGAACAAGAAGUGGCUCAAAUGACUCUAACCAGGUAACCGACAGAUUUGACCCAUUCCAUAACUCUAGAUCAAACAAUUAUGGGGAAGAAAGAUCUGGAAGUCUCAGUAGAUUGGAGAGUCAUGCCUUUGAUACUGUUGCUAUGCCCUCUCAGCAUAGUAUCCAAUCACCAAGUUAUAACCAUUUGAACUUUUCCCAUGAUAUUAGCUCUGGUAACAGUAAUAGAAAUGUUGGACAAUCGUUUCAUGAGCCACAAAAUGGCCAUUCGCAGAAUUACUUCAACAGAGAUAAUCGGCGAUCAUCACUGGAAAGAUCCUCAGAAGCAGACGAAUGGCAACGAGUUCGUGAGGAUAGAUUAAGAUUUACUAACGAUAGUUCUGGAUUAUACUCGAGAUAUCGCAGAGAAAACUGUGUGCAGAAUUCGAAUCAGUAUGGAAGAACGUCAUUGGGUAGAAGGCCUCCAGAUCACAGAUUCAGUCCAGAACGGACGCCAGGAAGGUAUUCACACUCCAGAUCUAGUCUUGAUUAUCCAGAAGAUAGUAGUUUUUAUGAUUCAACAGAAAGAAGGAUGCCAGAAGCUCGGUUUAAUAGGCACAGAGAUUUCAAUGAAUCAUUUUCUGAUAUGUCAGAUUUGGAACACAAAAGAGCUCAUUCAACCCGUUCUAGUUAUGAAAGAUCUUUCAGUUCACCUUCAGCUGAUAGAUUUAAUUCUGACAGGUUCUCUGGACGUUCUCGAAUGAGGCAAGAACGAUUUCAUCCAGACGAUUCUAACAAAUUUGAAAGAUCUGUAAGCCGAGAACGUAACUCGGACAAUUAUGAUAGAUAUUCUAAAAGAUCAUUCAGCCAAGAACGUUCCGACAGACAUCCUGUCAGAACAGCAAGCCAAGAAAGAGCUACCACUGACAGCAGAACGGCAUCAAGCCAACCAUGUCAUAGAGACACCAGAAGAGACACCUACGUUUCUCCCCUCGAUCACCUCUACUCUGACACAAGAGGGCCGAUAACUGGGAGAGGUUAUGGUGUGCAAAAUUACAGAUUAAAAUCCAAAGAAAAUGAAAAUAAACCUCAACGGAAAUUUUUCGAAAAAAAUACGAAAAAGAUCACUGACCAUGAACAUGAUUCAAAUUCUGCCGAAUCAAAGGUGCAUAUCAUUCCAAAGGAGAUGGAUAGCAAGCCUAUUUCAAAAGUUGUUGAAAAAACAUCAUAUAGUAAUAUCCUGUCAUGUAGUUCAACAGAAAUAUCCCAUUCACGAGAGAAGAGUACCGAUGAAAGAGAAAUAGAAGUUCGUGAAGUGGCAGAGAAUUCUCAUGAAAGCGUCCAUGAUGAUCCUGGCGAAAUACCCAUUAGUUUUGUUGAAGAGAGUAAAGUAGUUUUGCUAGAAGAUGAGUCAGAUAUGAAGUGCAAAAAGCUGGACAAAAAUAAUAUUUCUUCAAAGGAUACUCUAGAAAAAUCAGAGGUUGAUGAAUGUAAUGUAAAAUCGAAAUUGGAAAAGCUUGAAGCAGUUAAUGUUUCCAGGUUGUCUCAAGGGAGUGAUCAAUCAUCUCAGCACAAUAUCGUUUCUCAAGCAAAAGAAAAACAUUCAGAUUCGUCUACUACUUCAGGAAUUCUUGGUGAUGGCCUUAAUCAGACGGAGUCUGUUAGAAACAGAUCUGAAAAUGAUAAACAAUUGAACGAAUCUGUAGCUCCUGAAAAUGAAAACUCGGCUUCGAAUGUUGAUAGAGAAAGCAUCAUACCAGGUAGUGCCUUAGAAAAGCCUGAUAACAUCGCAAUCAGUAGUCCAAAGAAAUCUAAAAGUAUAGAUAAUGAUAAUGAUGAAAUGUCUCAAGAAAAGAAUAAAAACAGUCAGGCAAAAGAUUCCUCGUCAAUUGCUGAACCAAGUUUGGAUCGACAAAAAAACAAAGAAAAAGAAAAAUCAAUAAAUCCUAUGUGCCUUGACAAUAUUAACACUGACCAAGCUUUGGAAAAUAAUGAUGAUGAUGAUUCAAUAGUAAUAAUUCCGUCAAAUGAAUCUGAUAUACCUAUAAAAGUAGAAUCCCAAAGCGAUAUCAAAGUUGAGGAGAUUUGUGUCAAAGAAGAGGGAGAGUCCAGUGGUGGUAUUUCAAAAAAACCAAUCGUCGAUUUUUUCAUGCAAACAGAAGAAACCAAAAUGUUUUACGCUAUAAAUAAGGGAAAAAUCAAUAAAAAAAUUGACAGAAUAAAAAUGAUUAUUGAUGAGGAAGAUGAGGAGGAAGAAGCUAGUGAAUUUAAAAUUGGAGAAGAUAUAAAACCAGAAGAUGUCUGCACUCAAAACAAUGAAUGCAAAGACAUGAGCAACAUUGCAGUCACUUCAAAUAAGAGUGACGAUGCAUCUUCUAAUAAAUUGACUGAAACCACUAAAAAACUCCGUAAAUGUACUCGCAAUAAGAAGAAAACCAGACAAGUCAAAGGAAAGAGACCUUACAGACGUUGUUUGAAUACUAAGAUCAAAGCUCAAAAUGAAAAAACAUCAACACACUUGAAAAAGGGAAAGCGAAAUAAGAGUGAACUUGAUAAAUUACAUGAUGGGCUACGUGAAAUGUUCUUAAAAGCAGAAAUUGAAAAAACGUCUGGAAUUCGUUCCUGUAGACUUCGAAAUUCAACAGCUACCAAUCAAGUGGAUAAAAAUCCAGAGGUUAGUAACAGAAAUAAACUUCAAAAAGAAAGUACAAAAGAUCAAGUUGAAGGCGGGAAAAAUAUAGAAAACAAAAAUGAUGAAAUAGAGUUGCUCGAUGAAACCGCACAAGUUGAAUUGAAAGAUAGUGAGUUGAAGAUUUCCAAAUCGAAUUCUUCAAACAAGGAAAACAAAGAAGACAACGAUGAUCUUAAUAAGUUGCCAAGUGUCUCAAAAGUUACGGAAGACCUCGAUCAUCAACAAAACGACUGUGAUAAACAGAAAACGGAGGAAGAAUUAAUAAAAUCGAUUUUGAUUAACAGCUCUUUAAAAUCAACUCCCAUUGUACUUUUACAAAAAAGUAAUGUUCUGAUGAAACCGAAACCGUGUUCUACAUCAAACGCAACAAAACAAUCUGUUGUAAAUAAAUCUGAAGUAUCAGAUAAAGUGGCGUCCACAUCAAAAGCAAUAAAACAAUCUGUUGUAAAUACAUCUGAAGUAUCAGAUAAAGUGGCGUCCACAUCAAAAGCAACAAAACAAUCUGUUGUAAAUAAAUCUGAAGUAUCAGAUAAAGUGGCGUCCACAUCAAAAGCAACAAAAAAAUCUGUUGUAAAUACAUCUGAAGUAUCAGAUAAAGUGGCGUCCACAUCAAAAGCAACAAAACAAUCUGUUGUAAAUAUAUCUGAAGUAUCAGAUAAAGUGGCGUCCACAUCAAAAGCAACAAAACAAUCUGUUGUAAAUACAUCUGAAGUAUCAGAUAAAGUGGAGUCCGCAUCAAAAGCAACAAAACAAUCUGUUGUAAAUACAUCUGAAGUAUCAGAUAAAGUGGCAAAAAAGUUGAAUUCCACUGAAAAAUCUUCGAUUUGCGAAAAAAGUGAUGCUAGUCUUGUCGGCAAUAAUGCUGUUAAAACGCACGAUUCUUCUGUACCUAAGAAUUCAAGAAAAAAACGAAGUCCUCGGAAAAUUUUGGAUAUAGAUGAAUCAGUAAGUCAGCAGAAGCCUCUAAAAAAUCCUGUAAUUAUAUUAGAAAAGAAUAACCCAGCUAUGAUUGAAUCAGCAUGUCAAUCAGAAUCUCAAAAUUCAUCGUCCAAUGAGACUAAUCUUUCAAUAGCUCAUGACUCUAAUGUGUUGAACAGUGUUCCUCCAAUUUUAGAAGAGUCUGAUAAGAAUGGGAAUCUACAAAAAGGUUCUAUUGAGUCUGAAGAAAGCAUUUCUAGCAAUGCAGAAAUAGCAAAGGUGGGUUGUCGGAAGAGGUCUUCCCUUGAAUAUUCGGAGCUUGCCAACAUUUUUACCGAUAAGUCGUAUUUCCAAAAAUCCGGAUUUGGAUCCUCUGUGAAAGAAUACGAUUGUAAGAUAUGUAGUUUCUACGGGAAACCAAUAGUUAAACAUUAUGUUACCGAACAUUCAGACCAAGAUGUUUUGAUCUCCAGAUUAAACGCAAAUGAUGCCAAAGAAGCUAUUGUGAAAUCCAAAAAAGAAAUAAGUAUUAAACCAUCAGCAUUUCAGUGUUACAUGUGCAGUCGUCAGUGCACUAAUGUUGUUAGUUUCUAUGACCAUAUUACAUCGCACACGGGAGAAUACAGAUACACAUGUAAACUUUGUGAGCUUAAAACUUCAAACAGAGAUGCAAUGAAAGUCCACUGCACUGUAGACCACAAACUCGACUGGAAAAGUAAUUCUAAAACUGCCGUUGAAGUUGAUCCACUUCUUGAUAUGAAAAAUGUGUUCGGUUACAUUUGUUCAGAUUGUUAUUUUGUACAAUUGAAGAAAAGUACAGUUGAGGAACAUGUGAAAAAUCAUCAUAGUGGAGCGAAUGAUGUGAAAGUGAUACGGAUCAAUAUGUCUUCACUGGAAGCAAAGCCUGCACAACCAGCCCUCAACAACAACAACAUCGAUUCUAGUUUGUUGGACGGUAUUACUUCAAUCCCUUCCGUUAUUGAAGUUAGCAAUGAAAAUCUACCACCUAUUGCCUCGAAUACAACUAUUCAAGAAAAUCCUACAACCGUUGUAAAUGAAAGUGCAUUUUCAGCAAAUGCCUUGAAUACAACUAUUCAGGAAAAUCGUGCAACCGUUGUAAAUGAAAGUGCAUUUUCUUGUGUCGAACCAGACAAAGAUUUCACCAAAUUACGAUGCCUUAUGAAAGACACGUUACAAAAUAUAGGAGAUACUCUGUUCAGAAAGGAACAAACUGCUGUUAGCAAGGCAAUCUCUGGGAAAGUCGGCGACUUGCAUAAGUCUUGGAAAUGUAGUUCAGAAAAUGAAUCAAUCUCUUCAGGACCAGAGGAAAAUUUGUCUCAAGAAGAGUUAGAGGCGAAAAUGGAUAUUUCAUUGGAAAGUUUAUCUCUACCUCAAGAGGUAGAAGAAAUAAUUAUAGAUGAGGUAAGCUCUGCUGCUGAUGAAGAUAUGAUUGAACAACAGAUAUCAGAAGAGGAGUUGAGCCAAGUAGAGGAAACAGAAAUCGAGGAAGAAAUAUUACUUGCGAAAGAUAACGAGGAAGAAGAAAACAUCGUCGAAUUGGAAAGUUCUGAUGCUCACAGUGACUCGCCCAAAAUUUUCAGUCUCAUCACCAAAUAUGAACCAAGAUCAGAUGACAGCGAAGAAGACAAUUCUAGCGAUAAUACUUCUGUAGAUGAUUUUGAUAUGGAGGAUUUACAGAAUGAAGAAAUGUGUUUGUUAAACUUGGUAUGCGAUGCGGAUACUGAAAGUGCAGUUAUUUGCAAGGUUGAUGUAGGACCACUGACCAUCAGCCGAUCUAACAAAAGCGUGACAUUCUCGUGUAACAUCAGCUCUUGUAAUUUUACAAGUGAAAAUCCCAAGUAUAUUCUAUGCCAUUUCGGAAAGCACCUAGCUCUGUACACCACACUGGACUGCUCCAUUUGCAAACAUGAAUUUGAUUGCUCUUUGGGAUCUGUUCUCCUAUUGAAAGGAAUUGUCAGACAUGGCUUGGAGCAUAUGCUGCCCUCAAUUCCAACGCUUCCGCAAUCGCCUACACAAGCCCUGCCAGCAGUUGAACAGCAGCAGCAGCAGCAACCCCCAUCCAAUAUAGGGAGGAUUAGAGUUCGUCGUCUCAGUGGUGACAAGCUAUCUACAUUUUCUACGGUUGUAGACAACCCUCCUGUAGCUGGUCCGAGCUUCGUGCAAGAUCAACCGUCUACUUCUAGCAAUUUCUUUGGAAAUUUGAGAAUAGAAAGCGUAGUGAGUGCUGCAAAUUGUGAUGCAGAGACACGGCAGACCAUCAUGAACUCUCUCCACAAUGAAGCUACCCGAAAAAGACCUCGUGAACAAUACGAACUGGCCACUUUAGAGCAGAAUCCGACUAUGGAGUACCUAAUCAAUUUCUACAAAUGUAUGGGAGUAAACUGCCAUUUCAGCUCAAAUCGCUCCAGUGAUUUUCUCGAUCAUUUGAAGAAAUAUCAUCCUGUAAAAGUGACAUCUACUGCACCAUGGUUCCACUGCGCCUACUGUGACGUCAAGACUUCCUGCAGGACUGCUCUACUCAGACACCUGAAAGUCUAUCAUUGUCACAGCAAUAAACAAUGUGCUUAUUGCAAUUAUAGGUCUCUUUCGUACAAUAAUGUUAUGUACCAUCAUGACAUCGUACACGUCGACAAGACGUUAAAAAUAUAUAACUGUAGAUAUGUGGAGCCAUUGAUUCCUCGCCCCGACAUGCCGAAAAGAACUGAUGUUAUCCUGCCUUACCGGUGCAUGUUUGGCAAUGGAAGUGAUGGUAGCAGCUGCUACUAUUCGAGCACCUUUGUAUGGAACCUUAUGGAACGCCACCUCUUAUUCCAUGGCUAUAAUGGUCACAAAUGUCAUAUGUGUAAGAAACCUGUAUUAUUGACCGAGAUGAAUGAUCAUUAUUCAACCCAUUUAUUUGGUCUCUAUCAGUGCAUGUAUUGCAUUUUCGCUGCGCCAACGGGUGAAGUUAUGCGUGCACAUCUAUCUGGUUCCCACCCAGAUCUGAAACCCGAGGCGUGUAAGAGGGAGUUUAAGCCUGGUGCUUUUCAUUGUUUGGCCUACCGGAAUAUGCCUCUUGAUGUGGAAUUAAAUAAAUUGAAAAUUGUCAACUUCGAAGAUCUAUGGGUUCCCGUUGAAAGUGUGAUCGAUGGUGAACUCAUGGUUCCGACUUCAAUCCAGACAAAAACGGCAACCGCCACAGUUGGCACUCAACUAUCCAAAGUGGUACAACGACCGCGUACACAACCAAGCUUUCAAGUUUAUAGGAGGGUUGAUCAUUUAUUCCCAAAGAAUACGCCAAAACCUGCAGCCAGUCACGCUUCACAAUCUUCGGCUGCGACUCGAGUCAUAAACAAUGAACCGGAAGUUCCUCCAUUCGCUCUGUGGUCCAAAUCUCUUAAACCUCGCAUCGUGAAACGCUCAAGACCUCCACCAACCAUUGAUCAUGAAGUGAUCGAGAUAAGUUCUUCACCUGAAAGAGAGAGAUCUCCUGAAAGAGACUCUAAGAUUAUUCGAAAAGACUCUAUCAAACCUAAAAAAGAAUUUAUUGUGAACGAAGUUAUUGAGAACAACUCUUCCUCAGAAAGUGAUUCUGAUCCUGAAAUCGAUCAAGACCACAUAAUGUGCUUCCUGUGUAACAAAAUCUUCCAUAGUGAGAAAAAAGCGCUUCAUCACGUCACGACUGAACAUAAAGUCAAUAAGACUACAAUUGUGGACUAUUCUUCUGGCAGAUUAGUACGGCCAGAAAUUGUCACUAGUGACUCUCCUACGAAACCCCUUCAAUCUAAGAAAACAUUUACUAUGAAUGAAAUUCAUCUUUUGCCCAAAAAGGCAAUAUUAAAUUCUCCUAUUGUUUGUGAUCAUUGUGGAUUUUCAAAUGUAGUUGUUAAAAACUUGAAAAUACAUCUGCAAAACCAUGCUUCUGGGAAAGAAGUUGCCAGCAAAUUACUAGUUAAUCCAGUACCUUGUUUAGAGACAAACGAAAAAAUGUUUGACAAGAUGGUCAACCUAGCAGGCAGUUCACAUUCACAAACGGCAAAGGAUGCAGAUUUGAAACAUGUUUUCGAACCUCCGAAGUAUGUUGAUCCGUUUAUCAGAUAUUCGUGCGAUGUCUGUAAUCAUCUGACACUAAAUGACGAAAAUCUUCUAGCCCACUUGAAAACCAUUCACAAUGCCUCUCAUUACAAUUGCAUAUUCUGCCAGGGUGUCUCUGUACCAAUCGACAAGACGUUGAAUCAUUUGAAAAUGCACGACAGGAAUUUGUACAAAUGUCCGUACUGUAACUUAUGCCACUGGCAGAAAUCACAGGUAGAAAGGCAUGUCAUGGAAAAACACCGCGAGAAAAAACCUCUCGUCCUAAUCGUCAGAGAUCUUCGUGGGAACAAGACUAACGAAGAGGCGGUUCAACCGGAUGGCCUAAAAAUAUGCCAGUGGCAAUGUGCAUCAUGCGAGACUGUUGAACUCGAAGAGGCAGUGAUGAAAGAACACUGCAAGACUGUUCACGGCCUUCAAGAGUGGUGUAAAUGCUGCCUUUGCGAUUUCGCCUCGGACGAUAAUGUCGUAGUGAUAAAGCACUUCAAGGAUCACCAUCAAAACGAGAAGUUACAUGUGGUUCAAUUAUACCACAAAGUAUACAAGAAUCUACCGUCAUUUGACAACACGGUUGACAUGGGUCUUCCGCGAAGGAGGACCAGAAACCUCAGAGAACACAUAAGAGGCCAUAUUUUCUCUGAAAACUUGAAGGUACCGGAUGUACCAGAACCUGGCACAUAUAAGUGUCCCACCUGCGAUAAUUACACAAGCAAGAGUAAAUUGGACUUUAUUGCACACAUGUGGGAUGAUUAUAGAUUAAUCACGACACUACCUUCUUCUGCUGAAAAAAAACAAUACGAGACUUAUAUUAAUCGGGUUAUAUGGAGGCUAGAAAUCGAAAUGAAGGCAGACAAAAAAGAAGUUUCUGUAGAAUCAUCGAAAGAUAGUGAUUCAACGACCAAAGAUCCUCCCAGAUUGAAAAGGGCUUACAGAAAGAGGUCUGCGACAAAAGUUUCGGCCACUUCGGAAAAGAACAAAGUCGAUUCGGAUGACACCAGUAACAGUAAAAGACCGAGAUGUCGACCAGAGAAAGAUUCCUUAUAAAGAAAAUAGGAAAAGAAGUAAAAGAAAAAUAAAAGAAGUAAGGGAAAACGAAAAGAAAAAUUGAAUACAGGCAUAAAUUAUUGUUUCACAGAUUCAUCUGUAAAAGACAUACAUGUACACUUUGCUCCUUCCAAUGUUUGGAUGCAAAUGGUUUGAAAGAUCACAUGGCCAAACGUCACCCAAGUACACCACCAAUGGUCACAGCAACUGUCUCUCAGCCGAACGAUGCCGAUGCCACUGAAGAGGAGGUCAUUUACGAAUGCCAAAUAUGCGGUCGUGUAGACUAUAAAAACGCUCUACAUGAUCAUUUUAAAACGACUCACCCGUUUUCAUCUAUCAGCAUUUCCAUUUUUGACGAAGAACUUUUCAAAUGCAACAUUUGCAAUUUAAUCAAUCCUUCGUACGAGCGUCUAAUGAAUCACUCUACUACAGUUCAUCCAAACUGCUCUAUUGACAUUGCUGCCGUUGAGGCAGCUAAAAAUACGCAGCCUCCAAAAAAAUCCCCGGAAAUGUCCAACAUUAAAACGAACCUAGCUCGUUCAUUCUCUUGCUCGCUAUGCAGGGGGAUGUUCAACACACACACGGCUUGUCGCAUCCAUAUCAAAAAUCAACACAAAUCAAAGGCGGCCUGUAUUUCUGUUGUUAAUGAACAGCCUGAAAAAAUACCGGUCGCUAAAAAAUCCACGUCAAAACGUGUUGUUGAGAGUAGACCCCACGACAAGCUAUUUCUUUCAAAAGUAAUUUUGAAAGAUUUAGGAGAAUCACAUUAAUCUGAAAUCCAAACACGUCACUAUUUUUUAUUAUUUUGAUCUCUUACUCGAUGAAGAAUAAGUCUGUACUGAAGCGGUGCUUUUUAGGCUUCAGUCAGUAUAACGUUCUUAGUACUAUCAGUUUACUGUAAUCGAAACAGUAUCAUUCAAACUAUUAUCUUAGGUUCACGGUCAGUGUAUCAUUGACUGUCUUGCACGACUAUUAGUAUUAUCUCCCGCGACCAAAAAAAUGGUUGAUGUGUAAAGUGUUAAUAAGAAAGUUGGUAUUUUGAAGUAUUGAAAAUUAUUAUAUGUACGUAAAGUGUAAAGAAAUGUUCGUUGUAUAAAUUGCCAAUUUAUAUUAUUAGUGUUUUAUAGUUGUGCAAUAUUUGUUCUGAAUCGAUUUUCCGAUUCCCUUUACUCCAUACAUGUUUAUUCAUAUGUCAUUUUGGUACAGAUAAGAAGUUUAAUUUUGUAUUCGAUGCUAUGCUGCAAAAUCACUGUGGUUCAGAUAACAAAUUUAAUUUUUAUUCCAUGAGUGACGAUUUAUCAUUAUCAUUUCUGAUUUUUCAUACUACUUAUAAGUUUAUUCAUAUGUCAUUUUGGUAUAGAUAAGAAGUUUAAUUUUGUAUUCGAAGAGUAACAAUUUCUUGAAUAGCUACAUACAUGCUAUGCUGCAAAAUCACUGUGGUUCAGAUAACAAAUUUAAUUUUGUAUUCCAUUAGUGACGAUUUAUAAGUAUCAUUUCUGAUUUUUCUUAGUACUUAGUACUUUUUUCUUACUACUAGUUUAUUCAUAUGUCAUUUUGGUACAGAUAAGAAGUUUAAUUUUGUAUUCGAUUAGUGACGACUUCUUCAAUAGCUACAUACAUGCUAUGCUGCAAAAUCACUGUGGUUCAGAUAACAAAUUUAAUUUUUAUUCCAUGAGUGACGAUUUAUCAGUAUCAUUUCUGAUUUUUCAUACUACUUAUAAGUUUAUUCAUAUGUCAUUUUGGUAUAGAUAAGAAGUUUAAUUUUGUAUUCGAAGAGUAUCAAUUUCUUGAAUAGCUACAUACAUGCUAUGCUGCAAAAUCACUGUGGUUCAGAUAACAAAUUUAAUUUUGUAUUCCAUUAGUGACGAUUUAUAAGUAUCAUUUCUUAUUUUUCUUAGUACUUAGUACUAGUACUUUUUUCUUACUACUAGUUUAUUCAUAUGUCAUUUUGGUACAGAUAAGAAGUUUAAUUUUGUAUUCGAUGAAUGACGAUUUCUCGAUAUAAUUUCUGAUUUAUUAAAUACAUACAUGCUAUGCUGCAAAAUCACUGUGGUUCAGAUAACAAAUUUAAUUUUAUAUUCGAUGAGUGACAAUUACUUUAUCAAUGAGGAUUUACUUAUGUUCUAUCUUUGCAUUCCAAUUUUAUUAUAUUCUUUUUCCGCAUUCAGUUCAGAAUGACGUAGAACAUAUUUACAUGUAGAAAUUACAGUUUUGACAUUAUUUCUUUGUGGCUCACAAUAAAUUCUGUAUGUUAUUGAUAUAAUUUUCGAUGUUUCUGACCACAUACAUGUUUAAUUAUAUGUCAUUUUGGUAUGUUAUUGAUAUUUGUUAUUGAUAUAAUUUUCGAUGUUUCUGACCACAUACAUGUUUAAUUAUAUGUCAUUUUGGUACAGAUAAGAAAUUUAAUUUUUUAUUCGAUGAGUAAGAAUUACUUGAUCAAUGAGGAUUUACUUAUGUCCUAUCUUUGCAUUCCAGUUUUAUUAUAUUCUUUUUCCGCAUUCAGUUCAGAAUGACGUAGAACAUAUUUUCAUGUAGAAAUUACAGUUUUGACAUUAUAUUUUUGUGGAUCACAAUAAAUUCUGUACGUUCUUUU